Molecule: ribosomal RNA, 510 nt
Filed under: uncultured bacterium
Lineage: Bacteria
Description: partial 16S ribosomal RNA
Rfam family: Bacterial small subunit ribosomal RNA
Source: RNAcentral
GACGAACGCUGGCGGCGUGCUUAACACAUGCAAGUCGAACGAAGAGCGAUGGAAGCUUGCUUCUAUCAAUCUUAGUGGCGAACGGGUGAGUAACGCGUAAUCAACCUGCCCUUCAGAGGGGGACAGCAGUUGGAAACGACUGCUAAUACCGCAUACGAUCUAAUCUCGGCAUCGAGGAUAGAUGAAAGGUGGCCUCUACAUGUAAGCUAACACUGAAGGAGGGGAUUGCGUCUGAUUAGCUAGUUGGAGGGGUAACGGCCCACCAAGGCGAUGAUCAGUAGCCGGUCUGAGAGGAUGAACGGCCACAUUGGGACUGAGACACGGCCCAGACUCCUACGGGAGGCAGCAGUGGGGAAUCUUCCGCAAUGGACGAAAGUCUGACGGAGCAACGCCGCGUGAGUGAUGACGGCCUUCGGGUUGUAAAGCUCUGUUAAUCGGGACGAAAGGCCUUCUUGCGAAUAGUGAGAAGGAUUGACGGUACCGGAAUAGAAAGCCACGGCUAACUACGUG